This is a non-coding RNA of Dermacentor albipictus, 485 nucleotides long. The record is from RefSeq and is a predicted model, not a curated record. NCBI's taxonomy places the organism in Eukaryota, Metazoa, Arthropoda, Arachnida, Ixodida, Ixodidae.
UUUCCGCCGGACCACGUCGAUCCGGCAGACUCGGGGGUUUCCGGGCUGCACGUUUCGGCACAAUGCCAGCGCACUGCGUCGCGUAUGGCUGUACUAAUUACUUUUACGGCAAAGAGGCGGUGAAGUUUUUUAGAUUUCCGUCAGCAAAACUGUAUCCCGAGAAGCGAGAUGCUUGGAUUGCUGCGGUAAAAAGGAAGAAUGAAGACGGUUGGUUGUGGCAACCGAACGAACAUUCACGCAUUUGCAGCGCGCAUUUUAUUGCAGGGCGGCCGUCAACUUUUAAGAAUCAUCCCGACUACGUGCCAAAUAUGUUCUGCUACAAGAGAACUCCGGGCCAGGCUGGUGCGGAUCGGCACAGCCGUUGGCUGAAAAACCAAGGCGCUGUUUCUACAAAGCAGCAAGGUAGCAAGAACACAGCAAGUCAGCUCCUGGCCACACAGCAACCUACAGCCCCUUCGUUGAACCAAGGGAAGGCCAGUACAGGU